CCAUCAUAUAUUACAUAAAUUAAGAGAUGAGAUUUAAAAUACUAAUACGCCAUUAGUUCAACUAGCAGACAUAUAAAUUUAUAUAUCUGCUAGUUGAACUAGCGGAAGAACUAUCAGAUCUCAUGCUAUCCCAAAUAUUACGCUACCAAAUAUAUAUUAGAUCUACAAAGGCGUAAUAUCAGAUCUCGAAUAUUACAAUCUCAAAUAUUACGCUACCAAAUAUAUAUUAGAUCUGCAAAGGCGUAAUAUCAGAUCUUAAACAUUUUUUCUUGUUUUUGAUUUUUUUUUUGUUUUUUGUGUGGUGUAGGUGGUGGAGAGAGAAAAUAGUGAAGAAGAGGAAAGAAAAAAGGAGAAUGAAAAAGAAGACGAAGAAUUGUAAGAUGUGAAAAAGGGGAGAUGGGAUUUGAACAUGUGACUCAGAAUGUUCCUCCAAGUGAAUUUUAAAUGUCAAGAAUGCAAAGAUUGAGUGCUACAAACCCUUUAAAGCUUGUUAUCACCACCCCACUCCUUCCCCUUCUGUCCCUCGCUCCACUCCUACUCCACAAGUAAAUCUCUCUGUAUGUGUUCGUGUGUAUAUAAAAUUUUUUAUGUGCUUUUCCAAUUUUUGUAUAAUAUUUUUUGAGUUUUUUUUAAUAAAAAAAUUAUGGUUUGUGAUAUGGGUUUUAUUUUGUAGUAAAGCAACAAUCUGAAAUAUCAUUGAAUUCAAGAAGAUACACAAUUUUUGGUAGCGU
This 731-nucleotide long non-coding RNA is filed under the name Panax ginseng (ginseng). Its description in RNAcentral is "long non-coding RNA (PGIN_LNC009126)". Lineage: Eukaryota; Viridiplantae; Streptophyta; Magnoliopsida; Apiales; Araliaceae. The record is from RNAcentral.